RNAcentral lists this ribosomal RNA (488 nucleotides) under uncultured bacterium. RNAcentral's name for it is "bacterial SSU rRNA". It matches the Rfam family "Bacterial small subunit ribosomal RNA", at positions 8 to 496 of the family's 1533-position model. The record is from RNAcentral.
AGAGUUUGAUCCUGGCUCAGGAUGAACGCUGGCGGCGUGCCUAACACAUGCAAGUCGAGCGAAGCGAUUCGGAUGAAGUUUUCGGAUGGAUUUUGGAUUGACUGAGCGGCGGACGGGUGAGUAACGCGUGGGUAACCUGCCUCAUACAGGGGGAUAACAGUUAGAAAUGACUGCUAAUACCGCAUAAGCGCACAGUACCGCAUGGUACGGUGUGAAAAACUCCGGUGGUAUGAGAUGGACCCGCGUCUGAUUAGGUAGUUGGUGGGGUAACGGCCUACCAAGCCGACGAUCAGUAGCCGACCUGAGAGGGUGACCGGCCACAUUGGGACUGAGACACGGCCCAAACUCCUACGGGAGGCAGCAGUGGGGAAUAUUGCACAAUGGGGGAAACCCUGAUGCAGCGACGCCGCGUGAGUGAAGAAGUAUUUCGGUAUGUAAAGCUCUAUCAGCAGGGAAGAAGAUGACGGUACCUGACUAAGAAGCCCCGG